This is a long non-coding RNA of Paramormyrops kingsleyae, 743 nucleotides long. RefSeq lists it as uncharacterized. The record is from RefSeq and is a predicted model, not a curated record. NCBI's taxonomy places the organism in Eukaryota, Metazoa, Chordata, Actinopteri, Osteoglossiformes, Mormyridae.
AUUUCUUUCGAUCCGUAACUACAUGUGUUGUCCAGAAGUUAUUUUUGCUCUCCACCCAACAGCAAGAUUUAAAAUAAAUAAAUAAAUUCUGGGCUAUUUUAGCCUAGAGAAAACAAUCUCCAUUUUGCAGAUGCAGAGAUUAACAUGUAGAAAAGGCGAUUCCUUAGCGAACGGUGGCAGGUUUGCGCCCGGUCGCAGCGGCUCAGCGUGAGGGUGUAAUGCUUGUGAUUCACUGUCUCAAAAGUACGCCUGAAACCCACUGUGUGUACCGACAUGUACACGACAACCCUGCCGUUCUGCCACGACACAACAAAAAUCGGUGCACGUUUGCUGUUUGCGAGCUUUGUCGUGUCUCUCCGUUAACUUCUGCGAAUACCUCUCCAAAUGGAGUACAGCAGUCGUACGCUAGGCGAUGGAUGGUCCCUGUUGUCAGAUAAGAUUCUGCGCGCUGUAACACCCCAGAGCCACUGCGGCCGGACUUCAGGCAUCACUCGCUCACGUUUCCCGAAAGCCCGCGCCCCUGAUCUCUGCAACAGUCCCAGACAGAUCCUAGCACGUGGUGCAGCGGACAGAGCAGAAUGGUGACAGGAUGAGGUGUCCGAUGGGAGGCCGUGCCGGUUUGGGGUCCGUGCCUGUAUCCGGAUGGUGACUGGUUUGAAUCUCACAUCUGGUCAAGUAAUCAUAUCGCUGUUGGUCGUUGAAGAAGGCUCUAACUUUCAAAAACUGUUCCUGGGUGCCUAAUA